Molecule: ribosomal RNA, 492 nt
Filed under: uncultured bacterium
Lineage: Bacteria
Description: partial 16S ribosomal RNA
Rfam family: Bacterial small subunit ribosomal RNA
Source: RNAcentral
AGUGAACGCUGGCGGUAGGCCUAACACAUGCAAGUCGAACGGCAGCACAGUAAGAGCUUGCUCUUACGGGUGGCGAGUGGCGGACGGGUGAGGAAUACAUCGGAAUCUACUUUUUCGUGGGGGAUAACGUAGGGAAACUUACGCUAAUACCGCAUACGACCUACGGGUGAAAGCAGGGGAUCUUCGGACCUUGCGCGAUUGAAUGAGCCGAUGUCGGAUUAGCUAGUUGGCGGGGUAAAGGCCCACCAAGGCGACGAUCCGUAGCUGGUCUGAGAGGAUGAUCAGCCACACUGGAACUGAGACACGGUCCAGACUCCUACGGGAGGCAGCAGUGGGGAAUAUUGCACAAUGGGCGCAAGCCUGAUCCAGCCAUACCGCGUGGGUGAAGAAGGCCUUCGGGUCGUAAAGCCCUUUUGUUGGGAAAGAAAAGCAGCAGGUUAAUACCCCGCUGUUCUGACGGUACCCAAAGAAUAAGCACCGGCUAACUUCGUG